GAUGAACGCUGGCGGCGUGCCUAAUACAUGCAAGUCGAGCGAACGGACGAGAAGCUUGCUUUUCUGAUGUUAGCGGCGGACGGGUGAGUAACACGUGGAUAACCUACCUAUAAGACUGGGAUAACUUCGGGAAACCGGAGCUAAUACCGGAUAAUAUUUUGAACCGCAUGGUUCAAAAGUGAAAGACGGUCUUGCUGUCACUUAUAGAUGGAUCCGCGCUGCAUUAGCUAGUUGGUAAGGUAACGGCUUACCAAGGCAACGAUGCAUAGCCGACCUGAGAGGGUGAUCGACCACACUGGAACUGAGACACGUUCCAGACUCCUACGGGAGGCAGCAGUAGGGAAUCUUCCGCAAUGGGCGAAAGCCUGACGGAGCAACGCCGCGUGAGUGAUGAAGGUCUUCGGAUCGUAAAACUCUGUUAUUAGGGAAGAACAUAUGUGCAAGUAACUGUGCACAUCUUGACGGUACCUAAUCAGAAAGCCACGGCUAACUACGUG
Molecule: ribosomal RNA, 497 nt
Filed under: uncultured bacterium
Lineage: Bacteria
Description: partial 16S ribosomal RNA
Rfam family: Bacterial small subunit ribosomal RNA
Source: RNAcentral